UGAACUGGACCUCCUAAUUUCA
RNAcentral lists this non-coding RNA (22 nucleotides) under Arabidopsis thaliana (thale cress). The record is from RNAcentral. Lineage: Eukaryota; Viridiplantae; Streptophyta; Magnoliopsida; Brassicales; Brassicaceae.